GAGAGCAUCUUACAGUAUCGCUCCAUUUAUGAUUUAUGAAUCCAUAUAAUGUUCUUUCGAUGGAAAUAUUCUAGCCAGAACAAUUUAUAAAAUAAUACAUAAAAAAUGUAAAGACACACAGCAUAGUACAGCGAUGCGAAAUGUUGGUGCAACAGCAUCAGCGACGGUGAACAACAAAUUCGUAGCCGGCAGGCAUAUUGUGCGUAUCGUGGUUUUUCUCGCAUUUUUUCUACUUUCUCUCGAAAAAAAAAUCUCUCUCCACAACGCGAAGCAGAAAAAAAUGCGACGAUAAGAGGGCAGAAGAAAAGGAGACCGAGACAAUGCUUUCCAUAGAUUGCAAUAAGGUUACAUACAUCGAGAUUUUAGUGAUACCUAAUCGUUGUGUAUGUGCCCAGUGUGACACUUGGCAUCUCUUAUGAUUGCAAAAUGGUCGAAUCGAGACACAAAACUUCCCGCUCUUAAUACACCAAACAACCAAAAGCAUACACCCGGACAUACGGAAAAACUAUAUGAACGAAGCAAUAAAUAAUGCACAAAAGGACAACAUGUUGUGCGUUCGUCAUGUUAAAGAGUGCCCACCUCUCGCUCUUGCGAAUAGAUAAAGAGCAAACUUGCUCCACGGCAAAACAAUGGGAUUUUCGGAGCGUUUUGUAAAUGUGUGCGCGGCUCUCAUCCACUACUAAAGUCCAUUCACGACGUGAAUUGAUUUAUUCACACUCGAUUAUGCUCGUAAAGGGGAAGCUGGUGGAGAAAGGCAGCGACAGCAGCAAGAGCAUCAUCGGUAACAGCAACAACAACCUUAAAUGCUCUGCUGUUGCGGACAUGCAGACCAAAGUUUUGUACUGAUCAGUUUGAGUUUUAGCUCAUUGAGCAGCUCACUUAGCAAAACAAAGCCAAUAAUUCAAAUGUGAAUGAUUACCAACAAAUAACAUAAAACAACAUAUUCAACUGAAACUCAAACAGAACUCAAGCAAUGUGUAAAAGCAGUUGUUGCCCGAUUUUUCUGUUCGGUUGCCUGAUUUUCUAUCAAUGGUUUCGACAGAAAAAAAACCGUCAAAGAUUUUGUGCCAAAUUUCAUAAAUUUUCAAUUUCUUUUGUUUUGUCCCUUAAUGUAUUCAAUUCUCAAAGCCACCAAUGGGUACUUACCUUUAAAUUAUGGCCAACAAUGAGAGUAUAGCGUACGUUUGUUGUUAUUUUUACUGAAGUUUUUGUUGGCGAUUUAUUAUGUAGUGUAACGGUGCAACUUUCGACAAGUGUUAAAUAUCAGAAUAUUUGCAAGGCAAAUCACCCAAUUAGAAAUGAGCGCAUUGGCUGAAAGUGAACGAAAGAAAAAAAGCAAGAAUCAGCUUCCUUUAUUGUUAAGUCCCGGAACGACGAUUUAUGGCCCAAUUUUAUUAAAUCUCAUUAAUGGCACAUUUCGAAAUUCGAAUGUAUGUUUUUAAAACGGUGCACUCUUGUUCCAAAAAUUUGAGUCCUCUGUUAGACACAAAAUGAGUCGAAUACGCCUCUUAAUGCCUCUGCUUCUCUGUUCGGUCCUUUCUGUUUGCACACACAUAUAUACACACACACUCUUAAUGAGUUUACCGAAUGGAGAAAAAGGGUUCAGUGUCUUUUGCAUCGCCAUAUGAUUGUAUA
Long non-coding RNA from Contarinia nasturtii (swede midge), 1635 nucleotides. RefSeq lists it as uncharacterized. NCBI's taxonomy places the organism in Eukaryota, Metazoa, Arthropoda, Insecta, Diptera, Cecidomyiidae. The record is from RefSeq and is a predicted model, not a curated record. The transcript has 3 exons.